RNAcentral lists this ribosomal RNA (253 nucleotides) under uncultured bacterium. Its description in RNAcentral is "partial 16S ribosomal RNA". It matches the Rfam family "Bacterial small subunit ribosomal RNA", at positions 524 to 776 of the family's 1533-position model. The record is from RNAcentral.
UACGUAGGGUGCAAGCGUUAAUCGGAAUUACUGGGCGUAAAGCGUGCGCAGGCGGUUUGGUAAGACAGAUGUGAAAUUCCCGGGCUCAACCUGGGAACUGCAUUUGUGACUGCCUAACUAGAGUGCGGCAGAGGGGAGUGGAAUUCCGCGUGUAGCAGUGAAAUGCGUAGAUAUGCGGAGGAACACCGAUGGCGAAGGCAACUCCCCGGGCCUGCACUGACGCUCAUGCACGAAAGCGCGGGGAGCAAACAGG